GACCUGAUAGCACAUGGUGUGCACCUGCAACUAGUAGCAUGUUGGCCAAUGUUGAUAACUUGCAUCAGGAUCCCCGUUCGAUUCGGGGUUGGGUCA
This is a non-coding RNA of Mycena rebaudengoi, 96 nucleotides long. The record is from the annotation of a GenBank genome assembly. NCBI's taxonomy places the organism in Eukaryota, Fungi, Basidiomycota, Agaricomycetes, Agaricales, Mycenaceae.